Non-coding RNA from Nyctereutes procyonoides (raccoon dog), 340 nucleotides. Lineage: Eukaryota; Metazoa; Chordata; Mammalia; Carnivora; Canidae. The record is from the annotation of a RefSeq genome assembly.
UCGGUCCUGUGGAUGAAAGCAUUUAGCUGGGACAGGUCCCUUCUCACCUGCCUCUGCCAUGAGCCUUAACCUCUUCUGUGUGACUCUUUGUCUCCUGGGAGCAGGCCCCAUCGAUGCUGUGAUCACCCAGAUGCCAAGACACCGUAUUAUACAAAGAGGAACCAAGAUGAUCCUGGAAUGUUCUCAGGAUAUGAACCAUUUUGCAAUGUUCUGGUAUAGACAAGACCCAGGACAGGGGCUGAUGCUGAUCCAUUAUUCAAGUGAUGUCAGAAGCACUGCCAAAGGGGAUGUCGCAGAAGGGUACAACGUCUCCCGAAAUGUGAAGGAGGAUUUCCCCUGA